RNAcentral lists this unclassified non-coding RNA (474 nucleotides) under Hevea brasiliensis (rubber tree). The record is from RNAcentral. Lineage: Eukaryota; Viridiplantae; Streptophyta; Magnoliopsida; Malpighiales; Euphorbiaceae.
UUGUGAUUCUAUUGUGUGGAAAUUUGUAUUUAUAGACUCUUUUGAAGAUUUCCUUCUUUCUUAUUCUUUUUUGCAUGGGUUUAAGUUUUUGUAGAUAUUAAGGGGAUUGAGCAUAUUUAUUGUUGAAAAUACUGGUCAGGCCUGGCUCUGGAGAGCUACUUAGACUCUGGCCACCAGGGGGUGGUGCCUGCCAUGGCACCUUCUCGUGUGGCUGGGGGGUUAGCCCAGUCUUCCUCAAGUUCAGGAAUAAUCUUCCUCGAGUUCAGGAAUUUUCUUCCAAGGGGAUGGGCAGUCCCAGGCUGUAGUUAACUCACAUUUGACCUCAUCGUUUGGUAACUCAUCCAAUUCAAUUCCUGGAACUGGGCGACCCAAUCUGGGUCCCGUUUCUGGGGACAUGAAUAAUGCGGUUUUGAACAGUGUGGCAAACUCUGGACCAAGUGUCGGGGCAAGUUCUUUGGUGACAGAUGCAAAUUC